RNAcentral lists this transfer RNA (75 nucleotides) under Thermoplasmata archaeon. RNAcentral describes it as "tRNA-Tyr". It matches the Rfam family "tRNA". Rfam says of the family: Transfer RNA (tRNA) molecules are approximately 80 nucleotides in length. Their secondary structure includes four short double-helical elements and three loops (D, anti-codon, and T loops). The record is from RNAcentral. Lineage: Archaea; Methanobacteriati; Thermoplasmatota; Thermoplasmata.
CCCGCCUUAACUCAGCCUGGAUAGAGUGGCCGGCUGUAGACCGGCAUGUCCCCGGUUCAAAUCCGGGAGGCGGGA